Molecule: long non-coding RNA, 207 nt
Organism: Ostrinia furnacalis (Asian corn borer)
Lineage: Eukaryota; Metazoa; Arthropoda; Insecta; Lepidoptera; Crambidae
Exons: 2
Source: RefSeq, a predicted model, not a curated record
UUUAUUUCUUGUCAUUGCGACUUUGACGCAGCUGUUGUCAUGACAACAGAUAACAAAACAUGUUUUGUUGAAGGAUUAUUGAUGAAUAAUUUUCCACAAAAAAUUGGAUUUUAACCACGAUAGGAAAAUAAGAACCUGCGCCUAUCCGUUUAAACCGAUUGUAGAAUUUAUGGAAAGAUAUGGCGAUCUGAGUAUGCCCACUGAAGG